UUCUUAUUCAGAGAGGUGGAGGGAAUUGGCCCUAAGAAACCUCGGCAGCGGACUGUUAAAAGUACUGUGCCAAAUCCAACAAGCUACUGUGCUUGGAAAAUAAGAA
The sequence is a regulatory RNA element, 106 nucleotides long. It matches the Rfam family "SAM riboswitch aptamer (S box leader)". From Rfam's summary of the family: The SAM riboswitch is found upstream of a number of genes which code for proteins involved in methionine or cysteine biosynthesis in Gram-positive bacteria. The SAM riboswitch acts at the level of transcription termination control. The record is from Rfam.